This 619-nucleotide unclassified non-coding RNA is filed under the name Hevea brasiliensis (rubber tree). The record is from RNAcentral. Lineage: Eukaryota; Viridiplantae; Streptophyta; Magnoliopsida; Malpighiales; Euphorbiaceae.
UCCGAGAUGAUAAGCAAUUCUUUAUAGAUCAUCCCGGUGCAACACCCAUUACCACUGCUCAGGGGGAGGAACUGAGAAAGCUAAUUGGGGCUCCUGUUUACAUUGAAUGUAGUUCUAAAACUCAGCAGAAUGUGAAAGCUGUCUUUGAUGCAGCCAUUAAAGUAGUUCUCCAGCCACCAAAACAGAAGAAGAAAAAGAGAAGAAAGGCUCAAAAGGCCUGCUCCAUAUUGUGAUUGAGAAAAGCUGUGGCGGAAAACAUAACCAAUUAGGCAUUGAUCCCAUUAGUUUUUCACCAUCACCAUCUCUCUUACGUUUUCUCACCUUGUGGAAGCAACAGGAUUUCGUCUUUGCAUCUACUAACAGAACUAGGAAGCGCAUUAUAAUCAUCAAGUUGGGAAUUUGUCACUAUUUGGGUUGCAUUUGGAUAUGUAUAUGAAUGAUUGGGUUUGUUGACAUGAACACCCCUAUUUCUUUAGGUCAUUCUGCAUGUAUUGACUAAAUUCAGGAUGAGUUCUCUGAAAUAUUAAUCUGUUUCCUCUUGUAUUAUGUAUGAUAUGUAACUUAGUGCGCCUGAAAAAUCUUAAUAUAAUUAUGGUUUUUUGUUAGAUUAAAAAAAAAA